This 698-nucleotide ribosomal RNA is filed under the name Phytophthora x cambivora. RNAcentral describes it as "eukaryotic LSU rRNA". The stretch from base 238 to 392 matches the Rfam family "5.8S ribosomal RNA". Lineage: Eukaryota; Oomycota; Peronosporomycetes; Peronosporales; Peronosporaceae. The record is from RNAcentral.
UUACCACACCUAAAAAACUUUCCACGUGAACCGUAUCAACCCACUUAGUUGGGGGCUAGUCCUGGCGGCUGGCUGUCGAUGUCAAAGUUGACGGCUGCUGCUGUGUGUCGGGCCCUAUCAUGGCGAGCGUUUGGGUCCCUCUCGGGGGAACUGAGCCAGUAGCCCUUAUCUUUUAAACCCAUUCUUGAAUACUGAAUAUACUGUGGGGACGAAAGUCUCUGCUUUUAACUAGAUAGCAACUUUCAGCAGUGGAUGUCUAGGCUCGCACAUCGAUGAAGAACGCUGCGAACUGCGAUACGUAAUGCGAAUUGCAGGAUUCAGUGAGUCAUCGAAAUUUUGAACGCAUAUUGCACUUCCGGGUUAGUCCUGGGAGUAUGCCUGUAUCAGUGUCCGUACAUCAAACUUGGCUCUCUUCCUUCCGUGUAGUCGGUGGAUGGGGACGCCAGACGUGAGGUGUCUUGCGGGUGGUCUUCGGGCUGCCUGCGAGUCCCUUGAAAUGUACUGAACUGUACUUCUCUUUGCUCGAAAAGCGUGACGUUGUUGGUUGUGGAGGCUGCCUGUGUGGCCAGUCGGCGACCGGUUUGUCUGCUGCGGCGUUUAAUGGAGGAGUGUUCGAUUCGCGGUAUGGUUGGCUUCGGCUGAACAAUGCGCUUAUUGGACGUUCUUCCUGCUGUGGCGGUACGGAUCGGUGAACCGUA